AUACCUGCCUGUCAGGGGAGACACCAUGAUUCCUAAGAUUGCUUUCCCAGGGCAAGGCUUAUCCAUUGCAAGUUGGAUGUACUGACCCCUGAGACACCUCCAAAUAUGGGAAACUCUACUGCAGAAUUUGUGGUAGUGUGGGACUGUGUUCAUGCUCUCCUCUG
Molecule: small nuclear RNA, 164 nt
Filed under: Macaca mulatta (Rhesus monkey)
Lineage: Eukaryota; Metazoa; Chordata; Mammalia; Primates; Cercopithecidae
Description: U1 spliceosomal RNA (ENSMMUG00000024250.3)
Rfam family: U1 spliceosomal RNA
About the family: U1 is a small nuclear RNA (snRNA) component of the spliceosome (involved in pre-mRNA splicing). Its 5' end forms complementary base pairs with the 5' splice junction, thus defining the 5' donor site of an intron.
Source: Rfam by way of RNAcentral